Molecule: non-coding RNA, 250 nt
Organism: Caenorhabditis elegans
Lineage: Eukaryota; Metazoa; Nematoda; Chromadorea; Rhabditida; Rhabditidae
Source: Ensembl
CUUGCCUCGAGGCAAAAAAAAACUCGGAUCUUUCCUCUCUUUUCAUCAAAUAGGAAGGGGCCAACGAAAUGAGAAAAGAGCAGUAAGGCGCGCACAAAUUGCAUUUGGUUUGGUGUUCGUAGCAUCCGCAUCACAUACGCAUACACCGAAUUUCGCUUCUACUGCUCCGCAUCCGAACAAAUUUAAAAGGGUGUACGCCCUGCCGGCAACGGAAAGAGGCGGACUUGUGACACAGAUGCCAUAUGAAACG